RNAcentral lists this ribosomal RNA (838 nucleotides) under Pseudomonas sp. FG-4a. RNAcentral's name for it is "bacterial SSU rRNA". It matches the Rfam family "Bacterial small subunit ribosomal RNA", at positions 51 to 884 of the family's 1533-position model. The record is from RNAcentral. Lineage: Bacteria; Pseudomonadati; Pseudomonadota; Gammaproteobacteria; Pseudomonadales; Pseudomonadaceae.
ACACAUGCAAGUCGAGCGGUAGAGAGAAGCUUGCUUCUCUUGAGAGCGGCGGACGGGUGAGUAAUGCCUAGGAAUCUGCCUGGUAGUGGGGGAUAACGCUCGGAAACGGACGCUAAUACCGCAUACGUCCUACGGGAGAAAGCAGGGGACCUUCGGGCCUUGCGCUAUCAGAUGAGCCUAGGUCGGAUUAGCUAGUUGGUGAGGUAAUGGCUCACCAAGGCGACGAUCCGUAACUGGUCUGAGAGGAUGAUCAGUCACACUGGAACUGAGACACGGUCCAGACUCCUACGGGAGGCAGCAGUGGGGAAUAUUGGACAAUGGGCGAAAGCCUGAUCCAGCCAUGCCGCGUGUGUGAAGAAGGUCUUCGGAUUGUAAAGCACUUUAAGUUGGGAGGAAGGGCAUUAACCUAAUACGUUAGUGUUUUGACGUUACCGACAGAAUAAGCACCGGCUAACUCUGUGCCAGCAGCCGCGGUAAUACAGAGGGUGCAAGCGUUAAUCGGAAUUACUGGGCGUAAAGCGCGCGUAGGUGGUUCGUUAAGUUGGAUGUGAAAUCCCCGGGCUCAACCUGGGAACUGCAUUCAAAACUGUCGAGCUAGAGUAUGGUAGAGGGUGGUGGAAUUUCCUGUGUAGCGGUGAAAUGCGUAGAUAUAGGAAGGAACACCAGUGGCGAAGGCGACCACCUGGACUGAUACUGACACUGAGGUGCGAAAGCGUGGGGAGCAAACAGGAUUAGAUACCCUGGUAGUCCACGCCGUAAACGAUGUCAACUAGCCGUUGGGAGCCUUGAGCUCUUAGUGGCGCAGCUAACGCAUUAAGUUGACCGCCUGGGGAGUACG